This 496-nucleotide ribosomal RNA is filed under the name uncultured bacterium. Its description in RNAcentral is "partial 16S ribosomal RNA". It matches the Rfam family "Bacterial small subunit ribosomal RNA", at positions 28 to 507 of the family's 1533-position model. The record is from RNAcentral.
GACGAACGCUGGCGGCGUGCCUAAUACAUGCAAGUCGAGCGAUGAAGAUUGGUGCUUGCACCAAUUUGAAGAGCAGCGAACGGGUGAGUAACGCGUGGGGAAUCUGCCUUUGAGCGGGGGACAACAUUUGGAAACGAAUGCUACUACCGCAUAACCACUUUAAACAUAAGUUUUAAGUUUGAAAGAUGCAAUUGCAUCACUCAAAGAUGAUCCCGCGUUGUAUUAGCUAGUUGGUGAGGUAAAGGCUCACCAAGGCGAUGAUACUUCGCCGCCCUGAGAGGGUGACCGCCAAAACUGGAACGGGGAAAGGGUCAAGACUCCUAGGGGAGGAAGCAGUAGGGAAUCUUGGGCAAUGAGGGAAGGCCUGCCGGAGAAAGGCCGGGUGGGUGAUGAGGGUCUUCGGAUCGUAAACCUCUGUUAUUAGGGAAGACCAAAGGUGUAAGUAAAUAUGCACGUAUUGACGGUAACUAAUCAGAAAGCCACGGCUAACUACGUG